GACGUAGGGCGCGAGCGUUGUCCGGAUUUAUUGGGCGUAAAGAGCUCGUAGGCGGCUUGUCGCGUCGUCUGUGAAAUCCCGCGGCUCAACCGCGGGUCUGCAGUCGAUACGGGCAGGCUAGAGUUCGGUAGGGGAGACUGGAAUUCCUGGUGUAGCGGUGAAAUGCGCAGAUAUCAGGAAGAACACCGAUGGCGAAGGCAGGUCUCUGGGCCACUACUGACGCUGAGAAGCGAAAGCAUGGGGAGCGAACAGG
RNAcentral lists this ribosomal RNA (253 nucleotides) under uncultured bacterium. Its description in RNAcentral is "partial 16S ribosomal RNA". It matches the Rfam family "Bacterial small subunit ribosomal RNA", at positions 524 to 776 of the family's 1533-position model. The record is from RNAcentral.